GUGAUCCAUUAUACCUAUCCACCGCAGCAGAAAUAAAUUUUUGUGGCAACGGUGGUAUCAUGUCACCGUUGUAAUAAGUCAACCAACAGUGAAAAAUAGAUGAGAUAUAGAAGAAUAAUGUGAAAUAUUAUUCACAAAAAUUGAUAAAUUAUAUGAGAGUAUUGCGGCCAAUCGCCUCAUCAUCCGAUCACCGGAAAACGAGCACCUGCAAAAAUGAGAAGUCCACACUGACC
This 233-nucleotide long non-coding RNA is filed under the name Elaeis guineensis (African oil palm). RNAcentral's name for it is "long non-coding RNA (EGUI_LNC019199)". The record is from RNAcentral. Lineage: Eukaryota; Viridiplantae; Streptophyta; Magnoliopsida; Arecales; Arecaceae.